ACGGGUAUAGUAUAGUGGUUAGUAUAGCUCGUUCCCACGUGGAUCUACGAGUUGACGUGAGUUCGAACCUCGCUACCCGUA
This 81-nucleotide transfer RNA is filed under the name Clavulina sp. PMI_390. It matches the Rfam family "tRNA". From Rfam's summary of the family: Transfer RNA (tRNA) molecules are approximately 80 nucleotides in length. Lineage: Eukaryota; Fungi; Basidiomycota; Agaricomycetes; Cantharellales; Hydnaceae. The record is from Rfam by way of RNAcentral.